This 485-nucleotide ribosomal RNA is filed under the name uncultured bacterium. RNAcentral describes it as "bacterial SSU rRNA". It matches the Rfam family "Bacterial small subunit ribosomal RNA", at positions 30 to 504 of the family's 1533-position model. The record is from RNAcentral.
UGAACGCUGGCGGCAUGCCUAACACAUGCAAGUCGAACGGAAACGAUGGAAGCUUGCUUCCAGGCGUCGAGUGGCGGACGGGUGAGUAAUACUUAGGAAUCUGCCCAGUAGUGGGGGACAACUCGAGGAAACUCGAGCUAAUACCGCAUACGCCCUACGGGGGAAAGCGGAGGAUCCUUCGGGACUUCGCGCUAUUGGAUGAGCCUAAGUCGGAUUAGCUUGUUGGUGAGGUAAAAGCUCACCAAGGCGACGAUCCGUAGCUGGUCUGAGAGGACGAUCAGCCACACUGGGACUGAGACACGGCCCAGACUCCUACGGGAGGCAGCAGUGGGGAAUAUUGGACAAUGGGGGCAACCCUGAUCCAGCAAUGCCGCGUGUGUGAAGAAGGCCUGCGGGUUGUAAAGCACUUUCAGUAGAGAAGAAAAGCUUACGGAUAAUACCCGUGAGUCUUGACGUUACCUACAGAAGAAGCUCCGGCUAACUCC